GAUGAAGAACGGAGCGAAAUGCGAUACGUAGUGUGAAUUGCAGAAUUCAGUGAAUCAUCGAAUCUUUGAACGCACAUUGCACCUCUCGGUAUUCCGGGAGGUAUGCCUGUUCGAGCGUCAUUUGUACCCUCAAGCUCUGCUUUGUGUUGGGUGUUUGUUCCGCCUCUGUGUGUGAACUCGCCUCAAAACAAUUGGCAGCCGGCGUACUUGUUUCGGAGCGCAGCACAUUUUGCGAUCCAGAUCAACGUACAGCGGCAUCCAAGAAGCCUUAUUUAACGCUCUUGACCUCGGAUCAGGUAGGGAUACCCGCUGAACUUAAGCAUAUCAAUAAGCGGAGGA
Molecule: unclassified non-coding RNA, 339 nt
Filed under: soil metagenome
Description: partial contains 5.8S ribosomal RNA, internal transcribed spacer 2, and large subunit ribosomal RNA
Rfam family: 5.8S ribosomal RNA (bases 1-120)
Source: RNAcentral